Molecule: ribosomal RNA, 497 nt
Filed under: uncultured bacterium
Lineage: Bacteria
Description: partial 16S ribosomal RNA
Rfam family: Bacterial small subunit ribosomal RNA
Source: RNAcentral
GAUGAACGCUGGCGGCGUGCCUAAUACAUGCAAGUCGAGCGAACGGAUGAGAAGCUUGCUUCUCUGAUGUUAGCGGCGGGCGGGUGAGUAACACGUGGAUAACCUACCUAUAAGACUGGGAUAACUUCGGGAAACCGGAGCUAAUACCGGAUAAUAUUUUGAACCGCAUGGUUCAAAAGUGAAAGACGGUCUUGCUGUCACUUAUAGAUGGAUCCGCGCUGCAUUAGCUAGUUGGUAAGGUAACGGCUUACCAAGGCAACGAUGCAUAGCCGACCUGAGAGGGUGAUCGGCCACACUGGAACUGAGACACGGUCCAGACUCCUACGGGAGGCAGCAGUAGGGAAUCUUCCGCAAAGGGCGAAAGCCUGACGGAGCAACGCCGCGUGAGUGAUGAAGGUCUUCGGAUCGUAAAACUCUGUUAUUAGGGAAGAACAUAUGUGUAAGUAACUGUGCACAUCUUGACGGUACCUAAUCAGAAAGCCACGGCUAACUACGUG